RNAcentral lists this ribosomal RNA (445 nucleotides) under fungal sp. T8.4. Its description in RNAcentral is "eukaryotic LSU rRNA". The stretch from base 152 to 305 matches the Rfam family "5.8S ribosomal RNA". Lineage: Eukaryota; Fungi. The record is from RNAcentral.
CAUUAAAGAAUACCAGGCCUCACAGCCCUAUUCUCACCCUGUGUAUUUGAAACUUCGUUGCUUUGGCAGGCCCCUGGCUUCGGCUGGACAGCGCCUGCCAGAGGAUCUAAACCCUUGAAUCUCUGCUGUCUGAGUACUGUACAAUAGUUAAAACUUUCAACAACGGAUCUCUUGGUUCUGGCAUCGAUGAAGAACGCAGCGAAAUGCGAUAAGUAAUGUGAAUUGCAGAAUUCAGUGAAUCAUCGAAUCUUUGAACGCACAUUGCGCCCUCUGGUAUUCCGGGGGGCAUGCCUGUUCGAGCGUCAUUACAACCCUCACGCUCUGGCGUGGUGUUGGGCUCGCCCUGUAAGGGCCUGCCUCAAAAUCAGUGGCGGCCGCUGUUCGACCCCUAAGCGUAGUAAUUAUUCGUCGCUUCUGGGCUAGAGCAAGCCUGCUAGGAACCCCC